RNAcentral lists this ribosomal RNA (253 nucleotides) under uncultured Eubacteriales bacterium. RNAcentral's name for it is "uncultured Clostridiales bacterium partial 16S ribosomal RNA". It matches the Rfam family "Bacterial small subunit ribosomal RNA", at positions 524 to 776 of the family's 1533-position model. The record is from RNAcentral. Lineage: Bacteria; Bacillati; Bacillota; Clostridia; Eubacteriales.
UACGUAGGGGGCAAGCGUUGUCCGGAAUGACUGGGCGUAAAGGGAGUGUAGGCGGCUCAUCAAGUUAGAUGUGAAAUCCCGCGACUUAACCGCGGAACUGCAUCUAAAACUGGUAAGCUGGAGUGCAGGAGAGGUGAGUGGAAUUCCUAGUGUAGCGGUGAAAUGCGUGGAUAUUAGGAGGAACACCAGUGGCGAAGGCGGCCUGCUGGGCUUUUACUGACGCUGAGGCUCGAAAGUGUGGGGAGCAAACAGG